GUCUCCGUUGGUGAACCAGCGGAGGGAUCAUUAUAGAGUUAUCUAACUCCCAAACCCAUUGUGAACUUUACCAGUUUGUUUGCCUCGGCAGGCCUCCGCAUCUCGCCUCCGGGCGGGCGCGGAUACCACAGGUCUGCCGGCGGUCCCAUUAAACUCUUGAAUUAAUUGUAAAUCUGAGCGUUUAAAAACAAAUAAGUUAAAACUUUCAACAACGGAUCUCUUGGUUCUGGCAUCGAUGAAGAACGCAGCGAAAUGCGAUAAGUAAUGUGAAUUGCAGAAUUCAGUGAAUCAUCGAAUCUUUGAACGCACAUUGCGCCUAUUAGUAUUCUAGUAGGCAUGCCUAUUCGAGCGUCAUUUCAACCCUUAAGCCUAGCUUAGUGUUGGGAGAUUACCGCUAUGGUAACUCCCCAAAACCAUUGGCAGAGUCGAUACACCUCUGAGCGCAGUAAUUUAUUCUCGCUUUUGCGGCUUUGUAUUAGCUAUCGCCACAAACCUAUUUUUCUCAAUGGUUGACCUCGGAUUAGGUAGGAAUACCCGCUGAACUUAAGCAUAUCA
RNAcentral lists this ribosomal RNA (555 nucleotides) under Idriellopsis uncinospora. RNAcentral's name for it is "eukaryotic LSU rRNA". The stretch from base 201 to 354 matches the Rfam family "5.8S ribosomal RNA". The record is from RNAcentral. Lineage: Eukaryota; Fungi; Ascomycota; Sordariomycetes.